This 434-nucleotide ribosomal RNA is filed under the name uncultured Blautia sp. RNAcentral's name for it is "partial 16S ribosomal RNA". It matches the Rfam family "Bacterial small subunit ribosomal RNA", at positions 341 to 792 of the family's 1533-position model. The record is from RNAcentral. Lineage: Bacteria; Bacillati; Bacillota; Clostridia; Lachnospirales; Lachnospiraceae.
ACGGAAGGCAGCAGUGGGGAAUAUUGCACAGUGGGGGAAACCCUGAUGCAGCGACGCCGCGUGAGUGAAGAAGUUAUUCGUAAUGUAAAGCUCUAUCAGCAGGGAAGAAAAUGACGGUACCUGACUAAGAAGCCCCGGCUAACUACGUGCCAGCAGCCGCGGUAAUACGUAGGGGGCAAGCGUUAUCCGGAUUUACUGGGUGUAAAGGGAGCGUAGACGGUCUAGCAAGUCUGAUGUGAAAGGCAGGGGCUCAACUCCUGGACUGCAUUGGAAACUGUUAGUCUUGAGUGUCGGAGAGGUAAGCGGAAUUCCUAGUGUAGCGGUGAAAUGCGUAGAUAUUAGGAGGAACACCAGUGGCGAAGGCGGCUUACUGGACGAUAACUGACGUUGAGGCUCGAAAGCGUGGGGAGCAAACAGGAUUAGAUACCCUGGUA